GAUGAACGCUGGCGGCGUGCCUAAUACAUGCAAGUCGAGCGAACAGAUGAGGAGCUUGCUCCUCUGACGUUAGCGGCGGACGGGUGAGUAACACGUGGAUAACCUACCUAUAAGACUGGGAUAACUUCGGGAAACCGGAGCUAAUACCGGAUAAUAUAUUGAACCGCAUGGUUCAAUAGUGAAAGACGGUUUUGCUGUCACUUAUAGAUGGAUCCGCGCCGCAUUAGCUAGUUGGUAAGGUAACGGCUUACCAAGGCGACGAUGCGUAGCCGACCUGAGAGGGGGACCGCCCAAACAGAACCGAGAACCGGUCCCAAACUCCUAGGGGGAGCAGGAGGGGGAAUCCUCCCCAAGGGGGGGAAAGGUUAAGGAGGGAACGCCGGGGGGGUAAAAAAGUGCUUCGGAUCGUAAACCCUUGUUUUUGGGGAAGAAAAAAUGUUAAGUGAAUUAAAACAGUUGUGAGGGAACCAAAGAGAAAACCCACGCCAACCCGCGG
This 496-nucleotide ribosomal RNA is filed under the name uncultured bacterium. RNAcentral's name for it is "partial 16S ribosomal RNA". It matches the Rfam family "Bacterial small subunit ribosomal RNA", at positions 28 to 507 of the family's 1533-position model. The record is from RNAcentral.